RNAcentral lists this ribosomal RNA (253 nucleotides) under uncultured bacterium. Its description in RNAcentral is "partial 16S ribosomal RNA". It matches the Rfam family "Bacterial small subunit ribosomal RNA", at positions 524 to 776 of the family's 1533-position model. The record is from RNAcentral.
UACGGGGGGGGCAAGCGUUGUUCGGAAUUACUGGGCGUAAAGGGUUUGUAGGUGGUCUGUUAAGUCAGACGUGAAAUCCCUCAGCUUAACCGGGGAACUGCGUCUGAUACUGGAUGGCUUGAGUUCGGGAGAGGGAUGCGGAAUUCCAGGUGUAGCGGUGAAGUGCGUAGAGAUCCGGAGGAACACCAGUGGCGAAGGCGACACGCUGGGCCGUACCUGACACUGAUGCGCGACAGCAUGGGGAGCAAACAGG